Molecule: ribosomal RNA, 256 nt
Filed under: uncultured prokaryote
Description: partial 16S ribosomal RNA
Rfam family: Bacterial small subunit ribosomal RNA
Source: RNAcentral
UACGUAGGGGCUAGCGUUAUCCGGAUUUAUUGGGUUUAAAGGGUGCGUAGGCGGAUAUGUAAGUCAGCGGUGAAACUCACAGGCUCAACCUGUGCCGUGCCGUUGAAACUGUGUAUCUGGAAUGCGGAUGCUGUGGGAGGAAUGUGUAGUGUAGCGGUGAAAUGCAUAGAUAUUACACAGAACACCGAUUGCGAAGGCAUCUCACAAAGCCGUUAUUGACGCUGAGGCACGAAAGUGUGGGGAUCAAACAGGAUUA